This 83-nucleotide transfer RNA is filed under the name Spirochaetaceae bacterium. RNAcentral describes it as "tRNA-Leu". It matches the Rfam family "tRNA". Rfam says of the family: Transfer RNA (tRNA) molecules are approximately 80 nucleotides in length. Lineage: Bacteria; Pseudomonadati; Spirochaetota; Spirochaetia; Spirochaetales; Spirochaetaceae. The record is from RNAcentral.
GCCGGCGUGGUGAAAUGGCAGACACGGCAGACUCAAAAUCUGCUGUCCGCGAGGACGUAUGAGUUCAAGUCUCAUCGCCGGCA